GCCGCCUUAGCUCAGCUGGUAGAGCAACACUUUUGUAAAGUGAAGGUCCUGGGUUCGAAUCCCUGAGGCGGCUCUA
RNAcentral lists this transfer RNA (76 nucleotides) under Candidatus Magasanikbacteria bacterium RIFCSPHIGHO2_02_FULL_44_13. RNAcentral describes it as "tRNA-Thr". It matches the Rfam family "tRNA". From Rfam's summary of the family: Transfer RNA (tRNA) molecules are approximately 80 nucleotides in length. RNAcentral also lists the same sequence under 3 other names. Lineage: Bacteria; Candidatus Magasanikiibacteriota. The record is from RNAcentral.